This is a non-coding RNA of Sphagnurus paluster, 81 nucleotides long. The record is from the annotation of a GenBank genome assembly. Lineage: Eukaryota; Fungi; Basidiomycota; Agaricomycetes; Agaricales; Lyophyllaceae.
UCCGGUAUGGUGUAACGGCUAACAUUGCCGCCUUUCACAAUUACUUCGCGGCAGCUCGGGGUUCGAUUCCCCGUACCGGAA